GACGAACGCUGGCGGCGUGCCUAACACAUGCAAGUCGAGCGGUAAGGCCCUUUCGGGGAUACACGAGCGGCGAACGGGUGAGUAACACGUGGGUGACCUGCCCUUAGCUCUGGGAUAAGCCUGGGAAACUGGGUCUAAUACCGGAUAUGACUCCAUGACGCAUGUUGUGGGUGGAAAGCCUUGUGCGGCUAGGGAUGGGCCCGCGGCCUAUCAGCUUGUUGGUGGGGUGAGUGGCCUACCAAGGCGACGACGGGUAGCCGGCCUGAGAGGGCGACCGGCCACACUGGGACUGAGACACGGCCCAGACUCCUACGGGAGGCAGCAGUGGGGAAUCUUGCGCAAUGGGCGAAAGCCUGACGCAGCGACGCCGC
RNAcentral lists this ribosomal RNA (371 nucleotides) under uncultured bacterium. Its description in RNAcentral is "bacterial SSU rRNA". It matches the Rfam family "Bacterial small subunit ribosomal RNA", at positions 28 to 400 of the family's 1533-position model. The record is from RNAcentral.